RNAcentral lists this ribosomal RNA (404 nucleotides) under Actinomycetes bacterium. RNAcentral describes it as "Actinobacteria bacterium partial 16S ribosomal RNA". It matches the Rfam family "Bacterial small subunit ribosomal RNA", at positions 355 to 776 of the family's 1533-position model. The record is from RNAcentral. Lineage: Bacteria; Bacillati; Actinomycetota; Actinomycetes.
UGGGGAAUAUUGGACAAUGGGCGCAAGCCUGAUCCAGCCAUGCCGCGUGAGUGAUGAAGGCCCUAGGGUUGUAAAGCUCUUUCACCGGUGAAGAUAAUGACGGUAACCGGAGAAGAAGCCCCGGCUAACUUCGUGCCAGCAGCCGCGGUAAUACGAAGGGGGCUAGCGUUGUUCGGAUUUACUGGGCGUAAAGCGCACGUAGGCGGACUAUUAAGUCAGGGGUGAAAUCCCGGGGCUCAACCCCGGAACUGCCUUUGAUACUGGUAGUCUUGAGUUCGAGAGAGGUGAGUGGAAUUCCGAGUGUAGAGGUGAAAGUCGUAGAUAUUCGGAGGAACACCAGUGGCGAAGGCGGCUCACUGGCUCGAUACUGACGCUGAGGUGCGAAAGCGUGGGGAGCAAACAGG